AAACCGCUUAGGGGUUAAGCCCGAUGAACCCGAAUAUCCGAUGUGAGAAAUUCAAUACAGUAUUAAUUGUACGUAAUUGAAUAAUUUCUAUUGUAUGCACUUUUCUCAUAGUAGGACAUUGUAAUCCAUUAAUGUUAUAUUCCCUAAUAAGGAAUGAUUUAACAUACGGACAAGAUGCUUUAGCUUAUUCUAUCUGUGUCAUGAAUACAUGUCAUAUGAAUAAAUGCAUUUUGUACCUGUUUAAAUAGUUGAUGGAUUAGAUGACGAUCAUGCUUGCAUUAGUUGCGUUUCGUGUCAUUGGUUUUUAAUUGAUGGCAGCAGAAAUGGCAUGUAUCUGAUUAACAAUGCGAUAGAUUUGGGAUGCCCUCGGGACCCGUCUUGAAACACGGACCAAGGAGUCUAACAUAUGUGCAAGUCACUGGGUAUUUUGUUGAAACCUAUUGGCGUAAUUAAAAUGACUAUAUUUUAACUUGGGAUCACAAGUGGUGUUCAAUUAUGCGCUACUUUUUAAUCCCGGGGCGUUCUAUACGAACAUGAUGCAAGCGAUUGUGUCCUCUGUUCAAGAGCGUACCUUGAGCACAUAUGCUGU
This 589-nucleotide ribosomal RNA is filed under the name Monardia abnormis. RNAcentral describes it as "eukaryotic LSU rRNA". It matches the Rfam family "Eukaryotic large subunit ribosomal RNA", at positions 402 to 812 of the family's 3401-position model. Lineage: Eukaryota; Metazoa; Arthropoda; Insecta; Diptera; Cecidomyiidae. The record is from RNAcentral.